CUCUCUCUCUCUCGUUUUUGUCUGUAUCGUUUUUUUUUUGGAUAUGAAGAACAUAUCCGAAUCAAUUUUUGAUUCCAAAAUUGUACUGCGACUCCCUCGGUUUGUUUUUUAGUCUUUCGUUUGCUACUAUGGAAUUUGAUGCAAUCAAUUUUCUGUUUUCCAAACUCGGGUUUUGGGAAUUUUGCUUAGGUUUUAUAUGUCGAUCCUCAUGAACAGAUUUCCUGAAAUUUGUUUCCUUAAUCGUCUAUAGUGUCAGGUUUUGGACCUGAAUAUCAAUGAACGAGUAUGUAGAAGUUUUGCCAGAGAAGAUAAGAAUCUAUUCCUGUCUUUCUUAUAAAUUGAAUCUGAUCAUUCUGCUUAAUAUAUCAUCUGACUUAUAGUCCAAAAAUAUUUGUUGUGUAGGCUAAUUUCAAAGACAACAUGGUAAUGAAAACGCAUCAUCUACGGGACUUGUUUCUACACACCAAUUCACAACAGUUUAAGAGCCACAAUCUGAAACUUUGGGACAGAUUCACGGAAAGCGAGAGACAGACCAUCAUUUGGAAGGCUGUAUGAAAUCAAAUGCAAAGUGUUAUAGGAAGGUGGGAGCCGAAUAUAACCUUUGUAUGUUUUCACUUUGACAAACCGCAGGACGCAAACCACUAUGACACCAUUUGAUGCCUGGCAGGCUCCAAAAACUUUGUCAGCGAAUGAGCCCCACAAGGUACACGAAACCCUCUCGUCCCUGUCAAUCAAAAUCUGAUUCUAGUUCAUGUUUUUUUGAAUAUAGGCUUAAAAUUAGGCAUACAAAUGUAACCUUUCGUCCCGCAUCUCAAACACGAGUUUAUGCAUUGGCUUGUUGUUAACUUCAACUGUCUCCAUAUCACCAAUGUUGACCACUUGAUUUGCAAAUUUUGUACCACAUAUAGAAACCAUUAGAGGAAAUUAAUGUUUUUAAAUCAUAGAUACUUUAAGAAUAUAAUAAAAAAUCUGAAACAAUUACCAAUUAACAUGUUAGUGUUAAGCUCUGGAUCCUCAACUCUUGCAAACUUUGUCAAGCUUAGGAAGUUUUAGUCGGACUUAGGAUCACUAACAACAACAUAGGUGUCGUUGACAAAACUAAGUUUGUACAAAUGAGUGGUCGGACGGAACUGACCAACCGCAUGAGUGAGUGAAAAGGUCUCAAUGAACCUCCAUGAGCCAAUGGGAAGGUGGUUGACAUAACGGUUCACCAAGUAUUUUUUCACGGACCCGUGUAUUUUCAUUCCCUAAAGGUAUAUUUUAUAGUGAGGGAAGAGAAAAUUAUGAAAAGAAUAGAUUACUUAAAAGUGAUACUUACAGUCUCGUCAGCCAAAAUGAGUUGAAGGGUUUCACUUUGACCUGGAUUCUCCAUGCAGUCUUGUAUGGACGGAUGUCGCGGAGGAAAGCAAAAAUACCGCCAUAGAAAAUUAGGCCUGAAGUUGAAGGAAGGUAAGAGGGAUUGUAGUUUCUAAAUUAGACCUUCUUUCGGCCUGAAGUUGAAGGAAGGUAACAUUUUUAUUGAUUGUAAUUAGAAUGGCAAUGUCUGUAAAUAAGUCUGAACUCAAAGGCUUCUUAUGAAAAAUGCUGUGAAAAUGUGAAAAUGUUAAUAUAGAUAAUUAACAUAUCAAAUGAAUAAUCAUAUACGUUAAUUUUA
Camelina sativa (false flax) is the source of this 1654-nucleotide non-coding RNA. The record is from RefSeq and is a predicted model, not a curated record. Lineage: Eukaryota; Viridiplantae; Streptophyta; Magnoliopsida; Brassicales; Brassicaceae.